UACGAAGAGGGAUAGAGGUGUUCGGAUUUACUGGGCGUAAAGCGCGUGUAGGCGGGUCGUUAAGUUGGAGGUGAAAUCCCGAGGCUCAACCUCGGAACUGCCUUCAAAACUGGCGACCUGGACUCAAGUAGAGGCAAGUGGAAUUGUGAGUGUAGAGGUGAAAUUCGUAGAUAUUCGCAGGAACACCAGUGGCGAAGGCGACUUGCUGGACUUGUAGUGACGCUGAGACGCGAAAGCGUGGGGAGCAAACAGG
This 253-nucleotide ribosomal RNA is filed under the name uncultured bacterium. RNAcentral's name for it is "partial 16S ribosomal RNA". It matches the Rfam family "Bacterial small subunit ribosomal RNA", at positions 524 to 776 of the family's 1533-position model. The record is from RNAcentral.